Molecule: transfer RNA, 117 nt
Filed under: Pseudogymnoascus sp. VKM F-4519 (FW-2642)
Lineage: Eukaryota; Fungi; Ascomycota; Leotiomycetes; Thelebolales; Thelebolaceae
Rfam family: tRNA
About the family: Transfer RNA (tRNA) molecules are approximately 80 nucleotides in length. Their secondary structure includes four short double-helical elements and three loops (D, anti-codon, and T loops). Further hydrogen bonds mediate the characteristic L-shaped molecular structure. tRNAs have two regions of fundamental functional importance: the anti-codon, which is responsible for specific mRNA codon recognition, and the 3' end, to which the tRNAs corresponding amino acid is attached (by aminoacyl-tRNA synthetases). tRNAs cope with the degeneracy of the genetic code in two manners: having more than one tRNA (with a specific anti-codon) for a particular amino acid; and 'wobble' base-pairing, i.e. permitting non-standard base-pairing at the 3rd anti-codon position.
Source: Rfam by way of RNAcentral
GCUUUCGUGGCUCAGUUGGCUAGAGCGUUGGUCUCAUAUGUUGAAUAUGACGUUAUUGAUAUAAAUAAACAAUCACGGUGAUCCAAAGGUCGCAAGUUCGAGCCUUUGCCGAGAGCA